Molecule: ribosomal RNA, 541 nt
Filed under: Sphaerotheca dobsonii (Mangalore bullfrog)
Lineage: Eukaryota; Metazoa; Chordata; Amphibia; Anura; Dicroglossidae
Description: partial 16S ribosomal RNA
Rfam family: Bacterial large subunit ribosomal RNA
Source: RNAcentral
CAGCCUGCCCAGUGACAUAGUUAAACGGCCGCGGUACCCUGACCGUGCGAAGGUAGCACAAUCACUUGUUCUUUAAAUGGGGACUAGUAUCAACGGCACCACGAGGGCUUUCCUGUCUCCUUUUUCCAAUCAGUGAAACUGAUCUCCCUGUGAAGAAGCAGGGAUAUACCUAUAAGACGAGAAGACCCCAUGGAGCUUUAAAUCCAACAAACAGCCCGACACACAUAACUCAUCUUAGUCAUCAAAGCCAUGUUUGUUGGUUUUAGGUUGGGGUGACCGCGGAGUAAAACUAAACCUCCACGACGCACGGGAUUAGUCCCUUAUCUAAGAGCUACCUCUCUAAGAAUUAAUAUAUUAACGUAAAAUGACCCAAAUACAUUUUGAUCAACGAACCAAGUUACCCUGGGGAUAACAGCGCAAUCCAUUUCAAGAGCCCCUAUCGACAAAUGGGUUUACGACCUCGAUGUUGGAUCAGGGUGUCCCAGUGGUGCAGCCGCUACUAAUGGUUUGUUUGUUCAACAAUUAAAACCCUACGUGAUCU